RNAcentral lists this ribosomal RNA (806 nucleotides) under uncultured bacterium. Its description in RNAcentral is "bacterial SSU rRNA". It matches the Rfam family "Bacterial small subunit ribosomal RNA", at positions 29 to 857 of the family's 1533-position model. The record is from RNAcentral.
ACGAACGCUGGCGGCGUGCUAACACAUGCAAGUCGAGCGGAGUAUGUAGCAAUAUAUACUUAGCGGCGGACGGGUGAGUAACACGUGGGUAACCUGACCUACAGAGGGGGAUAGCCAUCCGAAAGGGUGAUUAAUACCGCAUAAACCGUAGCGCACGCAGUACGAAACGGCAAAGAGAUAUCGCUGUAGGAGGGGCCCGCGGCCCAUUAGCUGGUUGGAGAGGUAAAGGCUCACCAAGGCGACGAUGGGUAGCCGAUCUGAGAGGAUGACCGGCCACAUUGGAACUGAGACACGGUCCAGACUCCUACGGGAGGCAGCAGUGGGGAAUAUUGCGCAAUGGGGGGAACCCUGACGCAGCAACGCCGCGUGGAGGAAGAAGGCCUUCGGGUCGUAAACUCCUGUCUUUUGGGACGAAAGGAUGACGGUACCAAAGGAGGAAGCCACGGCUAACUACGUGCCAGCAGCCGCGGUAAUACGUAGGUGGCAAGCGUUGUCCGGAAUUACUGGGCGUGAAGGGUGCGUAGGCGGUAUAUUAAGUCAGAUGUGAAAGCCCAGGGCUCAACUCUGGGAGUGCAUUUGAAACUGGUGUACUGGAGUGCAGGAGAGGGAAGCGGAAUUCCUGGUGUAGCGGUGAAAUGCGUAGAUAUCAGGAAGAACACCAGUGGCGAAGGCGGCUUUCUGGACUGUAACUGACGCUGAGGCACGAAAGCGUGGGGAGCAAACAGGAUUAGAUACCCUGGUAGUCCACGCUGUAAACGAUGAGUGUUAGGUGUAGGGGGAGAAGUCCUUCUGUGCCGCAGUAAACG